Molecule: long non-coding RNA, 1442 nt
Organism: Callorhinus ursinus (northern fur seal)
Lineage: Eukaryota; Metazoa; Chordata; Mammalia; Carnivora; Otariidae
Source: RefSeq, a predicted model, not a curated record
UAUGGUUCCAAGAAAAUGAAACAGAAAGAGGUCCUUUCAGUUCUGUUAGAUCCAAAGCAAACACCCCUGUAGGCCAGGUGGGGGCUGCAGGGGCUGUAUUUUGACUUAGGCAUUAACCAGGGUAACCAAGUGAUCAAGUGCUCUAAACUGAAGGAGGAAAGGAAAGCAGCAGGGCUCCUGCUGACGACCUUUUUUUGAGCAGGUGACUCCUCCCUCCUCAGCUGGGUGAUUGGAUUGCCUCGACUACACUCUGAUGCCCAGGAGGCCUAUCCAGCAGCCACCAUGACUCCUGUGUGGCUCCAGCUCGUGCCCAAAUAGGCUCCUUAUGAUGCACAGGGUCUCCCAAGUGGCCCCAGCUCCUGGGCUCAGGUAAUACCAGCUUCUUCAUUUGUCCCUCCAGCCCUAAGACGGGUAGUGGCUUCCCAGUUGUUGGUCUUUGGGAUGCUUCCUCCAAUCCAGAAUAUUCUUUCAGCCACUCUAACACCUUUGUAACCAGUUCCCUGUGUUUCGUAACUCUAGUUAACAACGUCCUCGCAUGGAUUUGCUUUCCUGGAAGACCCCCGGUGGAUACAGGAGAGAGAGGAACUUUCUCCUCUCCCAGUUUCUAUAAUGAGGAUCUCCCUAGACACAGGCCUUGUCUCUCUUUACCCAUUUACUCCUUCCACCCCUGGGGCACUGGAGUGAGUAAUCUGAUCAUAAUUUUGGAAGAAUUGCUAGGCCUCUUGUUUCAGCUCUGCUUCUUCCUUUUUGGAGUGAACCUUCCAAGAGAGUACAACACCUCUCUGUACUGUCUGUCCCGCCUGAGCCCGCCCUGGUCCAGCAAAUGCCUACCUGUGGACUCUUUUCUGUGGGCAGCAAACUCCCUGUUAUGGGAUAUGACUGGAGAAGAGAGAAUUGUCUCCUGGUGAACAGACUCCAGAAAGAGUGGCACAACCCUUUCCACCACCACCAUCCAGCCUGUUGUUCCGCGACUUGCUUAACCAACCGGGGACUCAGACUUCUCACCCCUAAGUAAGGAAGACGAUCAGAAUAUGCCAUCCCCAAAUAUGCCAUUUUGGCAUAAGGAUCAUUUUGAGCUGAAGGCAACCAAGAAUCAAUAGACACAGGAAGAGUUCCCGGCCUAAAAGCAGUGUAUAAAUUUCCCUUUGAGGCAGGGGCUCCUUCGCCCACCAGGAAGAGAAGAGUCAAGGAAGAAGACAGGGAGCUGUCAACACCAAGAUGAGUUUGCAUAAACCAACUUUACUAAAAGAGCCCCGAUUUUCCAUUAGCACCCUCAUAUAUUUCCGAGUUGUCCCCACAUUUCAUCAUCCCAUGAAACCCAAAGCCCUUUUCCUUUAUUAAGAUGAUAUAUAAGCCCCUGAAUCUGCUUUUUUGAGUUUCUAUUCUGUGAACUCCUGUGCACAUAAAUAUUAAUAAAAAUUGUGUGCUAUUUCUCCUUUUAA